CUACGGGCGGCAGCAGUGAGGAAUAUUGCGCAAUGGGGGCAACCCUGACGCAGCGACGCCGCGUGGAUGAUGAAGGCCUUCGGGUUGUAAAAUCCUGUCAGAUGGGAAGAAGUGUGUAUUAUCUAAUAUAUGAUACAUUUGACGGUACCAUCAAAGGAAGCACCGGCUAACUCCGUGCCAGCAGCCGCGGUAAUACGGAGGGUGCGAGCGUUGUUCGGAAUUACUGGGCGUAAAGCGCGCGUAGGCGGCGUUGUACGUCAGAUGUGAAAGCCCACGGCUCAACCGUGGACGUGCAUUUGAAACUGCAAUGCUUGAGUACUGGAGGGGGUAGUGGAAUUCCCGGUGUAGAGGUGAAAUUCGUAGAGAUCGGGAGGAAUACCGGUGGCGAAGGCGACUGCCUGGCCAGAUACUGACGCUGAGGUGCGAAAGCGUGGGGAGCAAACAGGAUUAGAUACCCUCGUAGUC
Molecule: ribosomal RNA, 465 nt
Filed under: uncultured bacterium
Lineage: Bacteria
Description: partial 16S ribosomal RNA
Rfam family: Bacterial small subunit ribosomal RNA
Source: RNAcentral